GACGAAGGGGGCUAGCGUUGUUCGGAAUUACUGGGCGUAAAGCGCGUGCAGGCGGUUGUCCAAGUUGGAUGUGAAAGCCUUGAGCUCAACUCAAGAAAUGCAUUCAGGACUGGAUGACUAGAGGACCGGAGAGGAUAGUGGAAUUCCCAGUGUAGUGGUGAAAUACGUAGAGAUUGGGAAGAACACCAGUGGCGAAGGCGGCUAUCUGGACGGUUUCUGACGCUGAGACGCGAAAGCGUGGGGAG
Molecule: ribosomal RNA, 245 nt
Filed under: uncultured bacterium
Lineage: Bacteria
Description: partial 16S ribosomal RNA
Rfam family: Bacterial small subunit ribosomal RNA
Source: RNAcentral